This is a long non-coding RNA of Camellia sinensis, 520 nucleotides long. RefSeq lists it as uncharacterized. The record is from RefSeq and is a predicted model, not a curated record. NCBI's taxonomy places the organism in Eukaryota, Viridiplantae, Streptophyta, Magnoliopsida, Ericales, Theaceae.
UGACCUCCAUCCCACACAUCUCAUGGAGCAAGAUGUCUAGAAGCAAGCUCUUAAGAAGUUUGGAAAAUGACUUUGAAUUAGUUUAUGUGGUUCACUCAUGCUUGUCCUGGGAAGCACUCCAUUACCAAUACCAAAAGGUUAGGGUGUUAUGCGAGAAGGCUAAGGGGAUUCUAAUGGAAGAAAGCAAUGUGACCAUCUUUUGUCUUGACUCUUCCCGAUAAGAAUAAACAAACUUGUCCAAUAUGCCAUAUAAUGUGGAAGUAGGUUCUUCACAAUCUUCCAUCCUCGGUGAAGCUACCAUCAACCUGCUGAUUAUGCUGAUGCACUGAAGCCUUCUGCCAUUGCACUGCCUCUACAUGGAUGUAAGUCUGGAACUAUUUUACAUGUGAGACACUUCUAUCAGUUCUUUAAGCUUUUAAACAGAUACCUUUUUCAAUUGUAACCAGUGGCCAAGUUGAAUGUAUUAGUUGAGCAGAAACAUCAAAAUUCAAAUGAAGAAUUUUGAAUUUAUUGCGCUUCU